RNAcentral lists this long non-coding RNA (1297 nucleotides) under Ananas comosus (pineapple). RNAcentral describes it as "long non-coding RNA (ACOM_LNC031919)". The record is from RNAcentral. Lineage: Eukaryota; Viridiplantae; Streptophyta; Magnoliopsida; Poales; Bromeliaceae.
AAAGACUCCAAAAUACAGGUAAAAAAAAUACGAAAGAAAAAGAUCACAGGGGCUGCUCAUGUGGAGGGACUUGAUAAGCUGGAAUGUAAAAAGUCUGACUCAGAUUCAAAUUCAAAGUCGAGUGAUGAUUCUUCUUCCAAAUCUGAUUCCAAUUCAGAUUCUGAUAAGAAAUCUAAUCAUUCUGGUUUGAAAUCAGACUCGGAACCAAAAUCUAGUGAGGUAAUUAUAUUAUCUAAUUGAAAAAGCCCGGAUAUAAUAUAUAUCUGCUUACACUAGAUAGCUUGACAUAACAUUAUUAACUCUAUGAAAAAAAAAAAACAAAAGCUUGAUUCACUUAUCACUAUUUGUUACUCUUAAUACAUAAAAGUUCGUCCUAUAAAAAAAAAUCAAGUAAAAUUUUAUUAUGUCCAUAGUUUGUAUCUAUCUGCCUAAUAUUUCUAUAUCUGUCAUAGAUAUAGAAGGAUUUAUAACUGUAAAAUAACAAAAAGUAGUUCAAUACGCAAAUUUCUUUUUUUUCCUGCAAUCUAGUGACGGCAAAGACUCCAAAAUACAGGUAAAGAAAAUACGAAAGAAAAAGAUCACAAGGGCUGCUCAUGUGGAGGGACUUGAUAAGCUGGAAUGUAAAAAGUCUGACUCAGAUUCAAAUUCAAAGUCAAGCGAUGAUUCUUCUUCCAAAUCUGAUUCUGAUUCUGAUUCUGAUAAGAAAUCUAAUCAUUCUGGUUUGAAAUCAGACUCGGAACCAAAAUCCAAUGAGGUAAUUAUAUUAUCUAAUUGAAAAAGCCCGGAUAUAAUAUAUAUCUACUUACACCAAGUAGCUUGACAUAGCAUUAUUAACUCUAUGAAAAAAAAAAAAAGGAACAAAAGCAUGAUUCACCUAUCGCUAUUUGUUACUCAUAAUACAUAAAAGUUCGUCUUAUAAAAGAAAAUCAAGUAAAAUUUUAUUAUGUGAAUAGUUUGUAUCUAUCUGUCUAAUAUUUCUAUAUCUGUCAUACAUAUCGAAGGAUUUAUAACUGUAAAAUAACAAGAAGUAGUUCAAUACGCAAAUUUCUUUUUUUUUAGCUGCAAUCUAGUGACGGCAAAGACUCCAAAAUACAGGUAAAGAAAAUACGAAAGAAAAAGAUCACAGGGGACGCUCAUGUGGAGGGACUUGAUAAGCUGGAAUGUAAAAAGUCUGACUCAGAUUCAAAUUCAAAAUCGAGCGAUGAUUCUUCUUCCAAAUCUGAUUCCGGUUCUGAUUCUGAUAAGAAAUCUAAUCAUUCUGGUUUGAAAUCCGACUCGGAAUCAAAAUCUAAUGAGG